RNAcentral lists this ribosomal RNA (223 nucleotides) under uncultured bacterium. Its description in RNAcentral is "partial 16S ribosomal RNA". It matches the Rfam family "Bacterial small subunit ribosomal RNA", at positions 15 to 219 of the family's 1533-position model. The record is from RNAcentral.
GAUCCUGGCUCAGGAUGAACGCUGGCGGCGUGCUUAACACAUGCAAGUCGAACGGAGAGCCUAUGAGGGAGUUUUCGGACAACUGAUUAGGUUUCUUAGUGGCGGACGGGUGAGUAACGCGUGAGUAACCUGCCUUGGAGUGGGGAAUAACACAUCGAAAGGUGUGCUAAUACCGCAUAAUGCAGUUGGGUCGCAUGGCUCUGACUGCCAAAGAUUUAUCGCU